UCUUUGUAGGCUAGUUGGUUAGAGUGCUGCACAAGAAUCGCAGCGUCGCAAGUUCGAUUCUUGCCUAUAUAG
Non-coding RNA from Paramuricea clavata, 72 nucleotides. The record is from the annotation of a GenBank genome assembly. NCBI's taxonomy places the organism in Eukaryota, Metazoa, Cnidaria, Anthozoa, Malacalcyonacea, Plexauridae.